UGACCCUGGGCUACACACGUGCUACAAUGGUUGGUACAACGAGUUGCGAGUCGGUGACGGCGAGCUAAUCUCUUAAAGCCAAUCUCAGUUCGGAUUGUAGGCUGCAACUCGCCUACAUGAAGUCGGAAUCGCUAGUAAUCGCGGAUCAGCACGCCGCGGUGAAUACGUUCCCGGGCCUU
RNAcentral lists this ribosomal RNA (179 nucleotides) under uncultured Streptococcus sp. RNAcentral describes it as "partial 16S ribosomal RNA". It matches the Rfam family "Bacterial small subunit ribosomal RNA", at positions 1204 to 1382 of the family's 1533-position model. Lineage: Bacteria; Bacillati; Bacillota; Bacilli; Lactobacillales; Streptococcaceae. The record is from RNAcentral.